GCCAGAUGUGAUGUCAUGCACCUUAGUCCCAGCUAUUCUGGAGACUGAGGCGGGAGGAUCGCUUGAGCCCAGGAGCUCUGGGCUGUAGUGUGCUAUACCAAUUGUGUGUUCACACUCAAGUCAGCAUCAUUAUGGUGACUUCCUGGGAGUAAGGGACCACCAGGUUGCCUAAGGAGGGGUAAACCAGCCCAGGUCAGAAAUGGAGCAGGUCAAAACUCCUGUGCUGAUUAGUAGUGGGAUCACACCCGUGAAUAGCCACUGCACUCCAGCCUGGGCAACUUCAUGAGACCCCAUCUCUU
This is an unclassified non-coding RNA of Pongo abelii (Sumatran orangutan), 299 nucleotides long. It matches the Rfam family "Metazoan signal recognition particle RNA". Rfam says of the family: The signal recognition particle (SRP) is a universally conserved ribonucleoprotein. It is involved in the co-translational targeting of proteins to membranes. The record is from Ensembl. Lineage: Eukaryota; Metazoa; Chordata; Mammalia; Primates; Hominidae.